Long non-coding RNA from Hermetia illucens (black soldier fly), 516 nucleotides. RefSeq lists it as uncharacterized. Lineage: Eukaryota; Metazoa; Arthropoda; Insecta; Diptera; Stratiomyidae. The record is from RefSeq and is a predicted model, not a curated record. The transcript is spliced from 3 exons.
CUUCUUAUAAUUUGGGUGUAAUUGCGCGGUAUUUCUAACGAUUAUUCGUUUGAAAUAAUAAAACUUGUUGUUUUCUAUUCAACAAAAAGAUAAAAACUAUUCAAUAGAAAAUCUUAGUAGUUACAAGUGGACGCAGAAUCAAAUAAUAUGUAGUACAGAAUGUUAAUUAAUGAUGAUAAAUCUGAUGUGUCAAAUUAAACACGAAACUGAAAAAAACAUAACGAUUGCUUUGAAAAAUUCAUCAAAUUACUACAUUGUGAAAACUUACUUUCGCAAAUACUUGAUUGAUUUUUGGUUUGUGAUGUGUGUGCUCCAAAAGCAAGCUACGAACAAUAUAACAUAAAAUGGAAGAGAAAUGGUCGGUAUUCUAAUACGAAGGGAACUCAUCAAUCACAACCUCGUUAUGUCCCGGCGCACUUCUUCUUCUUUUUUCUUCACCGUUUGCCCCAUUCACAAGCGGGGUCGGCUCCUCGUGACAGGUUUCGCCAUUCGGUUCUAUCAAAAGCGUGAUCUGAA